AGGCCAGAAAUGUAAAUCCCUAUGCAACAGAGUGCAAAGAUUGGGGAGAAAAGACGUAGUUGGCCACCUGCUCCAAACCAGUUGUGGUAGCCCAGGAAUAUGCCCAGUUCCUGAGCUGAGGACCCUUCCCAGAUGUGUACUUUGCCAAUGAGAGUUGAGC
This is a non-coding RNA of Lonchura striata (white-rumped munia), 160 nucleotides long. NCBI's taxonomy places the organism in Eukaryota, Metazoa, Chordata, Aves, Passeriformes, Estrildidae. The record is from RefSeq and is a predicted model, not a curated record.